RNAcentral lists this unclassified non-coding RNA (418 nucleotides) under Hevea brasiliensis (rubber tree). The record is from RNAcentral. Lineage: Eukaryota; Viridiplantae; Streptophyta; Magnoliopsida; Malpighiales; Euphorbiaceae.
AUUCAGUUUCGGUACUCUUCUAGUUCGGUUCUUAGUGAAAAACUAAAACUAAACUAAAGCAUCAAAAUAACUUCGGUUCGACACGAUUCCUGUUGGUUCGAUUCAGUACCCCAAGAACCAUGCACAGCCCCUCUGUAAAGACUACAAAGUAUUCAAUAAUUUGCGAAAUAAGCUUUAUAUAAAAUCAAGGCCAUGAUUCUAAGUUUCUCAAGUGUUUAAACAUUUUUUUUAUUUUCUUCUUGCAUGUAUCAAUAAUUUCUGUCCAAAAAGAACAUACACACUCCAUUUGGAAUUUUGGAUAGACAUAGAUGAAGAUUUAAAAAGUAUGGUUAUUUGAAUGACAUUAUGUUGGUGCUUUAUAACUUUUCACUUGAAACACAACUAAAUCCACUUGCAUUUCAAAUGCACAACUAUCCAA